AGCACGGGCCUCUCCAAAUAGUGCUCUUAAAAAUGUCAUAGCGAAACGUCUUUAGCUUUUCCAACCCAAACAGUCGCAACUCGCAUCGCAAAUUAACCAUGUCGAAGGAAGGGAGCGAUCCUCACCUGCCUGAUACAGACGGCGUCCCCAGCCUGCAAUCCCUCGUAGACUCUCUCCAGCGCAGAAUCAAGGAGCUAGAGGCAGAGAAUGCAAAGCUGUCAUCUCGACUUUCAAGAUGUCGUUGUCAUGAGAUAGAGGAAGCAUGUGACAGGGCUGUCAUAGAUCGUGAUAGUCCUGUUGAGGAAAGGAGGGAAUCAAAAACAGGUGGUAGUAGGACCGCAAAGAAGAAUGUAGCAGAGAAAAUUCCAGGGUAUAACACAAGGACCAUGAAUCACCAUUGCAAGAGAUUUGUUGCUCUAAAAAUCAUGUAUUUCGGGCAAAGGUUCUAUGGUUUUGCUUCAGAGGCACAAAUGGAUCCUACCAUUGAGUCCGAAAUUUUCGAUGCUUUUGAGAAAACAAGGCUAUUAGUUGGUGACAAGAAGGAGUUACAGUACUCAAGGUGCGGUAGAACAGACAAGGGGGUGUCCUCUGUUGGACAAGUGAUCGCUCUCUUUUUACGAUCAAACCUCAAGGGAACUAGUGUGAACAGUGAAAAUUCAGGACAAAUUGUUUUAGACGAUAAAUUUGAAGGAGAAAUCGAUUAUGUGAGGGUGCUGAAUCGAGCUCUUCCUAAUGAUAUUCGAGUUGUAGGCUGGUGUCCAGUUCCAGUUGGUUUCAGUGCAAGGUUUAGCUGUUUGAGCAGGGAGUAUAAAUACUUCUUUUGGAGGGAAAACCUGAAUCUCUUGGCUAUGGAGAGUGCUUGUAAGAAAUUCAUUGGGGAACAUGACUUCAGAAAUUUUUGUAAAAUGGAUGCAGUAAAUGUGCACAACUACAGGCGGCGUAUCACGUUGUUCGAAAUUUUUCCUUCUAUGUAUGAUGGCAAUCAACUUUGGGAAUUUAAAAUUAAAGGUAGUGCUUUUCUGUGGCACCAAGUCCGUUGCAUGGUUGCUGUAUUGUUAAUGAUCGGCCAAGGUCUUGAAUCUCCUGAUGUGAUAGACAAAUUACUGGAUACUUACAGGACACCAAGGAAACCUCAGUACUGCAUGGCUCCAGAGCUUCCUUUGGUUCUUCAUUCUUGUGAAUUUGAAGGUCCAAAGUUUAUUUGUUCCACAGAUGCCGGACAAGCUCUGCGUGUACACUUGGUGAAUCAAUGCCGCAAUUACCAGCUCCCAGCUGCAAUAUUUCAUGAAGCUCUGCUAAGCUGUUUGCCCAUAUCAAUCAGAGCUCAUUAAAAAAUGGAAAAACCAAGAAAAAAGCUCCCCAUGUUCCACUCAUGUCUCGGCCAACUGAGCCAUCAUACGAAGAGCGACGUAUGAAAUUGAACUCCAAAACGUAGGGUUUAUCAAAAUCCUCUCGGAGAGUAUAGGAAAUGUAAGAAAUUGAUUCUUCUUUGCAACUUUUGUUGCUUUUGUGGUAUUUAAAUCAACCACAUUUUAUUGCAAAAUAAUGUUCUUUUUCUAAUUGAUGUAAUUUUUUCAUGAAAUGAGUUGUAGUUGUUGGCAGCCGCUGUGUUUCAAUAGGACAAAAUUAUUGACAUUUCGAGGUUUAUUUUUCCUCUUAUAUGGACGCCUGCAAUUUGUUCUCAUGUGUUUGAGCCAUUGUAAUUAUCCGUGAGUUUUCCCCUUGUAGUGUGUAGGGAUUUAUCCAUUUAUCGUAGGAGAAAAUAUCUUUAAUGGUUC
Molecule: RNA transcript, 1778 nt
Organism: Alnus glutinosa
Lineage: Eukaryota; Viridiplantae; Streptophyta; Magnoliopsida; Fagales; Betulaceae
Exons: 15
Source: RefSeq, a predicted model, not a curated record